Molecule: ribosomal RNA, 2834 nt
Filed under: Staphylococcus aureus
Lineage: Bacteria; Bacillati; Bacillota; Bacilli; Caryophanales; Staphylococcaceae
Description: 23S ribosomal RNA
Rfam family: Bacterial large subunit ribosomal RNA
Source: RNAcentral
GAUUAAGUUAUUAAGGGCGCACGGUGGAUGCCUUGGCACUAGAAGCCGAUGAAGGACGUUACUAACGACGAUAUGCUUUGGGGAGCUGUAAGUAAGCUUUGAUCCAGAGAUUUCCGAAUGGGGAAACCCAGCAUGAGUUAUGUCAUGUUAUCGAUAUGUGAAUACAUAGCAUAUCAGAAGGCACACCCGGAGAACUGAAACAUCUUAGUACCCGGAGGAAGAGAAAGAAAAUUCGAUUCCCUUAGUAGCGGCGAGCGAAACGGGAAGAGCCCAAACCAACAAGCUUGCUUGUUGGGGUUGUAGGACACUCUAUACGGAGUUACAAAGGACGACAUUAGACGAAUCAUCUGGAAAGAUGAAUCAAAGAAGGUAAUAAUCCUGUAGUCGAAAAUGUUGUCUCUCUUGAGUGGAUCCUGAGUACGACGGAGCACGUGAAAUUCCGUCGGAAUCUGGGAGGACCAUCUCCUAAGGCUAAAUACUCUCUAGUGACCGAUAGUGAACCAGUACCGUGAGGGAAAGGUGAAAAGCACCCCGGAAGGGGAGUGAAAUAGAACCUGAAACCGUGUGCUUACAAGUAGUCAGAGCCCGUUAAUGGGUGAUGGCGUGCCUUUUGUAGAAUGAACCGGCGAGUUACGAUUUGAUGCAAGGUUAAGCAGUAAAUGUGGAGCCGUAGCGAAAGCGAGUCUGAAUAGGGCGUUUAGUAUUUGGUCGUAGACCCGAAACCAGGUGAUCUACCCUUGGUCAGGUUGAAGUUCAGGUAACACUGAAUGGAGGACCGAACCGACUUACGUUGAAAAGUGAGCGGAUGAACUGAGGGUAGCGGAGAAAUUCCAAUCGAACCUGGAGAUAGCUGGUUCUCUCCGAAAUAGCUUUAGGGCUAGCCUCAAGUGAUGAUUAUUGGAGGUAGAGCACUGUUUGGACGAGGGGCUCCUCUCGGGUUACCGAAUUCAGACAAACUCCGAAUGCCAAUUAAUUUAACUUGGGAGUCAGAACAUGGGUGAUAAGGUCCGUGUUCGAAAGGGAAACAGCCCAGACCACCAGCUAAGGUCCCAAAAUAUAUGUUAAGUGGAAAAGGAUGUGGCGUUGCCCAGACAACUAGGAUGUUGGCUUAGAAGCAGCCAUCAUUUAAAGAGUGCGUAAUAGCUCACUAGUCGAGUGACACUGCGCCGAAAAUGUACCGGGGCUAAACAUAUUACCGAAGCUGUGGAUUGUCCUUUGGACAAUGGUAGGAGAGCGUUCUAAGGGCGUUGAAGCAUGAUCGUAAGGACAUGUGGAGCGCUUAGAAGUGAGAAUGCCGGUGUGAGUAGCGAAAGACGGGUGAGAAUCCCGUCCACCGAUUGACUAAGGUUUCCAGAGGAAGGCUCGUCCGCUCUGGGUUAGUCGGGUCCUAAGCUGAGGCCGACAGGCGUAGGCGAUGGAUAACAGGUUGAUAUUCCUGUACCACCUAUAAUCGUUUUAAUCGAUGGGGGGACGCAGUAGGAUAGGCGAAGCGUGCGAUUGGAUUGCACGUCUAAGCAGUAAGGCUGAGUAUUAGGCAAAUCCGGUACUCGUUAAGGCUGAGCUGUGAUGGGGAGAAGACAUUGUGUCUUCGAGUCGUUGAUUUCACACUGCCGAGAAAAGCCUCUAGAUAGAAAAUAGGUGCCCGUACCGCAAACCGACACAGGUAGUCAAGAUGAGAAUUCUAAGGUGAGCGAGCGAACUCUCGUUAAGGAACUCGGCAAAAUGACCCCGUAACUUCGGGAGAAGGGGUGCUCUUUAGGGUUAACGCCCAGAAGAGCCGCAGUGAAUAGGCCCAAGCGACUGUUUAUCAAAAACACAGGUCUCUGCUAAACCGUAAGGUGAUGUAUAGGGGCUGACGCCUGCCCGGUGCUGGAAGGUUAAGAGGAGUGGUUAGCUUCUGCGAAGCUACGAAUCGAAGCCCCAGUAAACGGCGGCCGUAACUAUAACGGUCCUAAGGUAGCGAAAUUCCUUGUCGGGUAAGUUCCGACCCGCACGAAAGGCGUAACGAUUUGGGCACUGUCUCAACGAGAGACUCGGUGAAAUCAUAGUACCUGUGAAGAUGCAGGUUACCCGCGACAGGACGGAAAGACCCCGUGGAGCUUUACUGUAGCCUGAUAUUGAAAUUCGGCACAGCUUGUACAGGAUAGGUAGGAGCCUUUGAAACGUGAGCGCUAGCUUACGUGGAGGCGCUGGUGGGAUACUACCCUAGCUGUGUUGGCUUUCUAACCCGCACCACUCAUCGUGGUGGGAGACAGUGUCAGGCGGGCAGUUUGACUGGGGCGGUCGCCUCCUAAAAGGUAACGGAGGCGCUCAAAGGUUCCCUCAGAAUGGUUGGAAAUCAUUCAUAGAGUGUAAAGGCAUAAGGGAGCUUGACUGCGAGACCUACAAGUCGAGCAGGGUCGAAAGACGGACUUAGUGAUCCGGUGGUUCCGCAUGGAAGGGCCAUCGCUCAACGGAUAAAAGCUACCCCGGGGAUAACAGGCUUAUCUCCCCCAAGAGUUCACAUCGACGGGGAGGUUUGGCACCUCGAUGUCGGCUCAUCGCAUCCUGGGGCUGUAGUCGGUCCCAAGGGUUGGGCUGUUCGCCCAUUAAAGCGGUACGCGAGCUGGGUUCAGAACGUCGUGAGACAGUUCGGUCCCUAUCCGUCGUGGGCGUAGGAAAUUUGAGAGGAGCUGUCCUUAGUACGAGAGGACCGGGAUGGACAUACCUCUGGUGUACCAGUUGUCGUGCCAACGGCAUAGCUGGGUAGCUAUGUGUGGACGGGAUAAGUGCUGAAAGCAUCUAAGCAUGAAGCCCCCCUCAAGAUGAGAUUUCCCAACUUCGGUUAUAAGAUC